UAAGGAAUAUUGGACAAUGGGCGCAAGCCUGAUCCAGCCAUGCCGCGUGAGUGAUGAAGGCCCUAGGGUUGUAAAGCUCUUUUGUGCGGGAAGAUAAUGACGGUACCGCAAGAAUAAGCCCCGGCUAACUUCGUGCCAGCAGCCGCGGUAAUACGUAGGGGGCAAGCGUUGUCCGGAUUUAUUGGGCGUAAAGCGCACGCAGGCGGUGCAGUAAGUUUCGAGUGACAGGUGGUGGCUUAACUGCCACAGGUCUUGGAAAACUGCUGCACUUGAGGGCUUGAGAGGGACGCGGAAUUCCAGGUGGAGCGGUGAAAUGCGUAGAGAUCUGGAAGAACACCAAAGGCGAAGGCAGCGUCCUGGCGAGCAACUGACGCUCAUGUGCGAAAGCUAGGGGAGCGAAC
Molecule: ribosomal RNA, 401 nt
Filed under: uncultured bacterium
Lineage: Bacteria
Description: bacterial SSU rRNA
Rfam family: Bacterial small subunit ribosomal RNA
Source: RNAcentral